Cinara cedri is the source of this 586-nucleotide non-coding RNA. The record is from the annotation of a GenBank genome assembly. Lineage: Eukaryota; Metazoa; Arthropoda; Insecta; Hemiptera; Aphididae.
UUUUAAAAAAAUAACUUUGUGUUUAAUAAGUAAGAGUCGAAAAAAAUAGCUUUUUAAACUCCUCUACUAUAUUUGCAGUUUUAAAAUAUAUUUUUCAAGGGCUUUUUUCAAGCGCUUUUUUUGUGAAUUUGAAUGACAAAACUCGAGUUCUGAUUAUCUUAUACACACGUAUAGGUACUAAAGCCGAUAAAAACGGUAGAUUCGAUCUCUCCGAUUGGAACGCAAGUACGCUAUUGAUAGGUUUUGAUAAGAGAUGUCGUUUUAUGCGAUACAAAUCGUUAGUUUUUAAGAGAAAGUGAUGCCCGCGCACGUGACGUAAUGCUCAUUCUAACAAACGUGAGAAAUAACGAAUUUAAGUUCGGCCGGGACAAUAUUGCGAUGUUAGUUUUGAUACCAGAGUGAAUUGACCUGUUAUCGAACUCGAGACAAAAACCAUCAUCGGCUGUACAAUCACGUAGUAACAGGUGAUUUUCGAUCUUUCAAAUUUCUAAGCGGGUUGUAAGCAUUUUUUUUCAAAUUGCGAUAAACUCGCAUGUUCGACUAAUAUGGCGAUUGCACUGCAUAUUGCAUUAUUGCCUUUAAGUUU